RNAcentral lists this transfer RNA (65 nucleotides) under Tenebroides mauritanicus (cadelle beetle). RNAcentral's name for it is "tRNA-Tyr". The record is from RNAcentral. Lineage: Eukaryota; Metazoa; Arthropoda; Insecta; Coleoptera; Trogossitidae.
GAUAAGGUGGCCGAGGUUUAGGCGGUAAAUUGUAAAUUUACUCACGAAUUUUUAUUCUCUUGUCA